AAAGUCGUAACAAGGUUUCCGUAGGUGAACCUGCGGAAGGAUCAUUAGAGAGAGUUAGUAGUGCGAUGAAUGGCUGGGGCACUUUAGUGCCGUAGCAGGUCAAUGGGACUGUAAACCAAAAAUGUGAGAGUAGUAGUUGGAGGGUUAUAGAUUAGGGUUAAUAACCCAAACCCUAUCCUCGCUGACUAAACUCUCAACUCUUAAUUUAAUAUUAACAACCAAACAAGAUACACAAGGACCUCGCCGCAAUGGAUCUCUCGGCUCUU
Molecule: unclassified non-coding RNA, 266 nt
Filed under: Basidiomycota sp.
Lineage: Eukaryota; Fungi; Basidiomycota
Description: partial contains small subunit ribosomal RNA, internal transcribed spacer 1, and 5.8S ribosomal RNA
Rfam family: Eukaryotic small subunit ribosomal RNA (bases 1-47)
Source: RNAcentral